CUCACCUGCUUAAGAAACUAAAAACAUCCAAACAAAAAUCAAAAGCUAAAACUUUAAUCUACACUAAUAAUGAAUGAUGAAUCUAGUAUCUACACAACAAAAUCUUUGUGUUUCAUACUGUUUGCUAUCCCUUCUAAAGGCAAUUACCCAGGCCUUUAAUAUCCAAGUCUGAAAGCCUUUGAAAAGAGAGUCAAAGCAAGUAUCUCAGGUUACUUAAGGCAAAACAACUAGUGACAAAUUCUUUCAAUCAUAAACUUGAAUAGUUAAUAGGGCCAAAACUUCAGCAGUUAGACAUCAACUAAUACGUUCUUCAAAGUUAAAUGAAUAAAAGGCUAACCAGUUGUGAACUUGAAUUUAUUAAAGUGAGACAAGUCACUAUGGUUUUACGUUUUUCUUCAGUCAUGGUCUGGUAGCUGCUCAGGGAUAGGUGCCUUGUAAGCUGAGACGUGGGUUUUUGCCAGGGAGGUACAACAGUACAGGAAUGGGGCAAGGUAUAUGCAGUGGGAUGAUUAUGACAAAUCACAGAUUUAAGCCAGGGAAACAGAGAUGUGAGGAUGUGGAAGUAUGAGGCAAGAUGAAAAAUGUGGAUAGGCCUAUGGAUUAGAGGACCUGGUGUGGCCAAAUAAUUGCUGGAGUUGUUACCAGACAGAGGGAACCAGAAAGGUGAAAUGUCAUGGCUGGAAAAUGAGAUGCUCAACAUUGUGACUUUGGAGGGGGACAUUGACAGCAGAAUCAUCCUUUACAGGUCGCAAAGGACUAAAAUCUCAGCUCACCCAAUUUACAUUCCGGCAUCAUCAUCAGAUUAGCCUGAGGGGUGUUUCUCAACAGCACAAUACCGGGCUUUGAGGAAGUCAGGGACCCCAAACAGAGGGACUAGCUGAAGCCAUG
RNAcentral lists this long non-coding RNA (888 nucleotides) under Homo sapiens (human). Its description in RNAcentral is "HSALNT0344151". The record is from RNAcentral. Lineage: Eukaryota; Metazoa; Chordata; Mammalia; Primates; Hominidae.